Long non-coding RNA from Tarenaya hassleriana, 346 nucleotides. RefSeq lists it as uncharacterized. NCBI's taxonomy places the organism in Eukaryota, Viridiplantae, Streptophyta, Magnoliopsida, Brassicales, Cleomaceae. The record is from RefSeq and is a predicted model, not a curated record. The transcript has 2 exons.
AAACUGUAGUCACUAUAGUGUUCCAAAUCCAGAUCCUGGUUAUGUUGACGUCGAAAAGAAGGAAAGCUCAAUCGGCGGAUGGAAUUUGGUAGAGCACCCUCUGCUCUUCAAUAUGCAGGAGCGAAUUUGACAUGCAUAUAUAUACACACAAAGUAUUGGGAGACGGUGGCAUAAGUACUAUAUAUAUAUACACACACAAAGAAUUUGAUUUAUGCGUACACAUGUUUGCAUCUCUUUUGGUGAAUUGUAAAUUAUGUAAGACGGUAUAACUGUGAUGUCGAGUAUCAAUGUGUUGCUGCUUAUGUUCGGAUAUGCAUAUACAGAAUACGUUUCAAUCUUUCCUCCU